RNAcentral lists this long non-coding RNA (2278 nucleotides) under Ooceraea biroi (clonal raider ant). RNAcentral describes it as "uncharacterized LOC113563606". Lineage: Eukaryota; Metazoa; Arthropoda; Insecta; Hymenoptera; Formicidae. The record is from RNAcentral.
GAAGAGUAGCCAUCGUGUCAUUUCUUGCCGCGCAUUUGUAAUGGCCCUUGUGUGCAAUGUGCAAUGUGCAACGGCAACGGUAUUAUUUCCCGCUAUUCAACGAAUGUUUGUGAAAUUGCGAACCUUGUAUUAUAAGUCUUGUGAAAGCAGUGCUAUUAAUUGUAGUAAUAUAUAAUAAUAGUAAAAGAAUCUUCCACAGUAAUUGAAAUAAUAUUCUUUCGUUAAGAUGGACGAUACUGCAAAACAAGUAAGUAUAUUAUAUAGCCGUGCAUUACGAUAUUUUACUUAUGUUGUGUUUAACUUUUGUUUAUAUUCUGUAUUUAACUUUGAAGAAAGCUCAAGUUAACAUUAAGGAAAAAAUUUAUCCAUGCAUUUCAUGAAUUACAGACAGCAAACAGGUUAUGUUAGGUUAGAUUAGCAAUCUUCUUAUAUAUUGUAAAACAUAGAAAACUCGUAUAGGACCGCGGAGCACAGACAAUUGCAUAAUGUAAAUAAUCAUCAAUCAUAGAAUCCUUCAUUUGCUAUCUUCAGGAUUGUCAUCCUGAAGAUAGAAAUGAAGGAUUCUAAUUAGUUGAUUCUCUUAUGCAUUAUGCAAAAAUCUGUGCCCCGGCUCUUAGACCGCUUUGGUUCCUAUAUUACUACAAUAGGAUGUCUUUUUGAUGUUUUCUUGACGUCAAAAUGAUGUCAUUUUGACUGCGUUGUGUUCCUUGUGUAAUAAAAAGUUUUAUGUAAAACUAAAUAAAAUAUUCAUAUACACAAUGAAUCCUAAUAUUCUUUGCUAUAUAUAGAUAUAUUCUUAUGAUGAAAAAAAUAUAUUAGUGAAUCUUAUGUUUAAAAGAAAGAAAAGAAAACUGCAGGAACUUUCAGGAAAUGAAAUUUCUUUACGUAUAACCUUAUUGAGGUACCUUUUUCAAUUCAUCUACGAACUUAAAUACAUCUUUGUUUCCUGUCAUAUAAAGAGUCCGUGAGAUAGACAAGCAUUCGUCUACCAGGUAUAGAAACCUUCGCAUCCACCUUCUAUCUGUUUCAAUCAUUUCUUGGUUGGAAUCGUUACAAUUUCUAUUAUAAUAAUUAAGAUAAUUAUCCCGCUUCAAAUACAUUGUUUUCUUAUAAUGGGAACUCAAACUUAUCAUCAGCUAAAACGAACAUUGCAUCCAUAAAUUAAACUAAGAUUACAAAACUUUGGAAAAUAAAGAAUUGUUUUGAAAUUAGAAGCGAAUUACUCUUUAAUGUGUCAGUACUUUAACAUAUCUAUGCUAACUUGCUUGUGACCAAUUAUCUUAUCGUUAAUUUUAUGAAUUGUUAUUUAGUAGAAUUAAUAUACAUGACAUAUACAUGAAAAAUUACCGUUAACAAAUUUAUUCUGGGAUAUCUGUCAAAACUUAUGAGACAUUCUAAAGCAGAAUUAGAAAUUGUGGACCAGUUAUCUUUAUUCAGAAUGGCUCCACCGUCAUCGAGACAAAUAUAAAGACACUCUUCGUCAUUCGAGUUUGUUACAUUACUGCAAUAAAAUAAUAAAACAGUAUAUACACGACAAAAAUGGAAAUGUAGAAAAGGUAACAGCCAGGCCCGGAACAACACGAUCAGAUAUAAGAUCACAAUAUAUGCCAAGUCUUCUUGCAACGCUCUGAAAUAUGACUAUCAGCGGUACAAUGCGGUCUUUAUACUCCUGUCAUAAUUUAAGAAACAAAAAUAUUAACAUUUAUAAGAAAUAAUAAAUAUGAAGCUAUAGAUAUAGCAUAAGCUGAUCAUAAUGUAUUAUAUUAUAAACUAUAACUUACGAACUUAAUCAUAAAUAGGUAUUGUCGAAAGAGAUCUGAUUUCAAAGAAUGUACAACUGCGUCAAAGUUUGGUUUAUGCAAGAGUAUAUUGAAAAGAAUAUCUAUAAUCUGUCUUCCCUCGCUGUUGUUCCAUUGAUUUUCAUAGAUAUUAUUGUAUUUCCACCUCGAGAACUGUUCGCGACAUGCCGAGAAUAUUGGAUGCUUGGGAUUCUCAACUUUAAGGCGCUUUAUAACCUGUUGUGCGAUAUUAUCCAGAUCCAUAUCUAUAUGCGAGCAAGAGACAUUUUUCUCCGGAUGAAACCAUUGUAUGAUAAAAGUUAUCACCUCUUCCAAUAGCUGGUGUUUGGGAGGGCGAUUUAUAAAUUCCUGCCAUACGGUUUCUAGAUGAUGAUGCCUUAAAUAUGGUAGAAGGAUUCUUCCGUAAUAAAUAUUUGUCAGGAUCCCAUACAGCACAGAUGCUUGCACCAACAUUGCAGCAACGUUGCAACGUUGCAAAU